RNAcentral lists this long non-coding RNA (1288 nucleotides) under Scleropages formosus (Asian bonytongue). RNAcentral describes it as "lncRNA (ENSSFOG00015026849.1)". Lineage: Eukaryota; Metazoa; Chordata; Actinopteri; Osteoglossiformes; Osteoglossidae. The record is from RNAcentral.
AGAUUCUGGGAAGAGGUCCAUAGCAGGAGCUCCCUGCACUUGAGCCCAGUUUCUCCCGGGAACACAGGUGGGGUCCCCCGUUCGCGUGAGCCCUGCGGCCGGCCAGAUGUGCGACUCUCUCCUUCGCCGGCUUGGCCAGAUCCACGAGUCGGGGGGGAAAAUUUACAGGGAGGCGCAGUCAGCUGGAGGAGAAGGAGGGGCUCCCAGUGCACAGAAACAGAUGUUGUUCUGGGCAAAUGGGAGGGGGCGUGUGUGUGGGUGUGUUUGCAUCCAAGACUGGACUCAGAGCGGGGGUCUAGCUCUCAUUCUCACACUGAGUUCACUGUGUCCCAACGCCCCCCCCCCCCCCACCCCCAUGGGAAGAUGACAGCCCUGUCCAUCACGUCCACAGUAAACCUACGGAACGGUCGCGGGACAAAGUAAUUUAGAAAGGGACAGCGCCUGGAUUCCUAGUUGUCUCUACAUGAUUAUUUUUUUCAUUUUUUUUGUCCUCCCUGGGUUUGUGUGUGUUUCCUCCUAUCGUACAAAGAUAAACAUUUUAGGUGGAUUGGUGACUCGUGUCUGUGGUCUGUAAACGCGUGUGUGAUUAUCUUGUGAAACAAUGGAACCUCCUUCAAGGUGCACCCUGCCCAGCCUUAGUGCCCUAUGAUUCCAGGAUAAGAUCUGAACCACGGGAACGCAGCCUUAGGAUAAGUGGUUGUUGAUGGCGAAUUCAGAGUAAAUACCUUGAUCAAGGGUCCUGCAGCAGGGGUUGGGAUUCAAACCCUUGUCCUGGUAAUUACAAGCAAUAGAAUUACAAUUACAAUGGUCCAUUUACAUUUAUGCAUUUAGCAGUGUACCACCAUUGGACUUGGAGGUCAUAAGCUGAACUCCCACCCCCUUUUGUAAUACCCCUAAGAAAGAUACUUACCCUGAACUGCUUCAGCAAAAAUUACUAAACUGUAUAAACGCGUGAACCGCAAGGAAGCUUUGAAGAAAGAUCAGCUCAAUGUAUAGAUGUAGCAGACUUUUUGCUCCAAAGUGAGGUACAAUUCAUGGUAAACAAGAGUGCAUUGCACAGCAGAGCUGUAGGUCCAGACACAUGGUUACUCUACUCAUACAGAUGUCCAUGGAGCCUUUGUGUCGAUAAGUGGAAGCUCCUCGGAGGCUCGGAGAACUGAGCUGAAUCGGAACCCUACACUCAUACUUCUGCUUCCGCCAGUACAGUUCAGUACCCGAGAAGCCUAUCAGACACGCUCACCUCUGGGCUUUUUUGCAGAAAUAAAAUUGUACCACAAGAUGACUUCCA